Aotus nancymaae (Ma's night monkey) is the source of this 190-nucleotide small nuclear RNA. Its record names the gene U2. It matches the Rfam family "U2 spliceosomal RNA". From Rfam's summary of the family: U2 is a small nuclear RNA (snRNA) component of the spliceosome (involved in pre-mRNA splicing). Complementary binding between U2 snRNA (in an area lying towards the 5' end but 3' to hairpin I) and the branchpoint sequence (BPS) of the intron results the bulging out of an unpaired adenosine, on the BPS, which initiates a nucleophilic attack at the intronic 5' splice site, thus starting the first of two transesterification reactions that mediate splicing. The record is from Ensembl. NCBI's taxonomy places the organism in Eukaryota, Metazoa, Chordata, Mammalia, Primates, Aotidae.
ACUGCUUCUCAGCCUUUUGGCUGAGAUCAAGUGUAAUACCUGUUGUUACAUGCUAAUAUCUGAUUCCUCCUCUAUCCAAGGACAGUAUGCUAAACGGAUUUUGGAAGCAGGGAGCUAAAACAGGAGUUUGCUCCAACCACUCCACACACCGACCUGGUACUGCAGUACCUCCAGGAAUGACACACCCCCU